RNAcentral lists this long non-coding RNA (606 nucleotides) under Homo sapiens (human). Its description in RNAcentral is "HSALNT0235511". Lineage: Eukaryota; Metazoa; Chordata; Mammalia; Primates; Hominidae. The record is from RNAcentral.
CCAUGAGCUCCCUUUCUGAUUAGCUCAGGUGGGACUGGGUUUCUGUCAUUUGCCACCCAAGGAUCCUGCCCCAAAAGGAUGACAGAUGCUCCUUUUUCACAGACAAGAAAAUCAGGGUUCAGCACAGUGAGGUGCCCUGCCCAAGGUCACACAGCCAGUCAGAAGCAGAGGUGCUAGCUUUGUGUAGCUGGUGUGCACACACACACAGAGCAACAUGUAUACACCUGUGCACACACACGCGCACCCACACAUCCAUGCACACACAUGCACCCACACGCACCCACACAUCCACGCACGCACACGUGCACCCACGCAUCCAUGCACAGACAUGUGCAUACAUGCCUAACACAUCCACACGGACACGUGCUUAGCCGGGACCUGCAGGCUCCAGGCUGAGUCCUAGGAAUUGAGAUGCUAGUUCUGCAGUUCCUGUAGGUCCACCUGUCAGGCAUCUUCCUCCCCGGGGUGUGACAUCCGGCUCUGAAACCCAGAGGGGCCCCUAGGGCAGGGCAGUCAGGGGUCCUGCCGGCCGGUGUGGAGACCCCCAGGGAGGACGGCAGAACAGCCCAGGUGCCUGAGGUCGAGUCCCCGCACUCACCACCACGU